Molecule: unclassified non-coding RNA, 378 nt
Filed under: Hevea brasiliensis (rubber tree)
Lineage: Eukaryota; Viridiplantae; Streptophyta; Magnoliopsida; Malpighiales; Euphorbiaceae
Source: RNAcentral
UGAAUUUGCACCCAGUUUGCUCGUGAGCUUCCUCUUUAAACCUUCAAUUUCAUUUUCUCCUGGCUUCAACCGUCCCCCAGGGAGCUUGCAAAAGGUAUUGCCUAUUUGCAAAAGUAGAAUAUGGGGAUGUUUAUGUUCUUGCACCAGCAGAAUUGCUUCAACACUUGUCCUCAUGCCUUCCUUCAUAUAGUUGACUUUCAUGCGAGCAAGACGAUCAGCGACGGAGGUGUCCUUCUCGAGCUUCGGCUCUUUGGUACCGAAGGUGUAGCUGGAAAGUGGAUAGGUGUUCACCACCGGCGACGUCACCAUGGCUGUGUUCACUCUGCAGCUGCCGAGCAAAGCCGGAAGGAAGUUGAAAAACCUUGGUGAUGACCUGCG